CCUACGGGUGGCAGCAGUGAGGAAUAUUGGUCAAUGGACGAGAGUCUGAACCAGCCAAGUAGCGUGAAGGAUGACUGCCCUAUGGGUUGUAAACUUCUUUUAUAUGGGAAUAAAACGUUCCACGUGUGGGCUUUUGUAUGUACCAUAUGAAUAAGGAUCGGCUAACUCCGUGCCAGCAGCCGCGGUAAUACGGAGGAUCCGAGCGUUAUCCGGAUUUAUUGGGUUUAAAGGGAGCGUAGGUGGAUUGUUAAGUCAGUUGUGAAAGUUUGCGGCUCAACCGUAAAAGUGCAGUUGAAACUGGCAGUCUUGAGUACAGUAGAGGUGGGCGGAAUUCGUGGUGUAGCGGUGAAAUGCUUAGAUAUCACGAAGAACUCCGAUUGCGAAGGCAGCUCACUGGAGUGCAACUGACACUGAGGCUCGAAAGUGUGGGUAUCAAACAGGAUUAGAUACCCGUGUAGUC
Molecule: ribosomal RNA, 460 nt
Filed under: uncultured bacterium
Lineage: Bacteria
Description: partial 16S ribosomal RNA
Rfam family: Bacterial small subunit ribosomal RNA
Source: RNAcentral